GAUGAACGCUGGCGGCGUGCCUAAUACAUGCAAGUCGAGCGAACAGACGAGGAGCUUGCUCCUCUGACGUUAGCGGCGGACGGGUGAGUAACACGUGGAUAACCUACCUAUAAGACUGGGAUAACUUCGGGAAACCGGAGCUAAUACCGGAUAAUAUAUUGAACCGCAUGGUUCAAUAGUGAAAGCCGGUUUUGCUGUCACUUAUAGAUGGAUCCUCGGCGCAUUAGCUAGUUGGUAAGGUAACGGCUUACCAAGGCAACGAUGCGUAGCCGACCUGAGAGGGUGAUCGGCCACACUGGAACUGAGACACGGUCCAGACUCCUACGGGAGGCAGCAGUAGGGAAUCUUCCGCAAUGGGCGAAAGCUUGACGGAGCAACGCCGCGUGAGUGAUGAAGGUCUUCGGAUCGUAAAACUCUGUUAUUAGGGAAGAACAAAUGUGUAAGUAACUAUGCACGUCUUGACGGUACCUAAUCAGAAAGCCACGGCUAACUACGUG
RNAcentral lists this ribosomal RNA (497 nucleotides) under uncultured bacterium. Its description in RNAcentral is "partial 16S ribosomal RNA". It matches the Rfam family "Bacterial small subunit ribosomal RNA", at positions 28 to 507 of the family's 1533-position model. The record is from RNAcentral.